CCUACGGGUGGCAGCAGUGAGGAAUAUUGGUCAAUGGGCGCGAGCCUGAACCAGCCAAGUCGCGUGAGGGAAGACGGUCCUAUGGAUUGUAAACCUCUUUUGUCAGGGAGCAAAAGACGCCACGCGUGGCGUUCCGAGAGUACCCGAAGAAAAAGCAUCGGCUAACUCCGUGCCAGCAGCCGCGGUAAUACGGAGGAUGCGAGCGUUAUCCGGAUUUAUUGGGUUUAAAGGGUGCGCAGGCGGUAGAUUAAGUCAGCGGUAAAAUUGAGAGGCUCAACCUCGGCGAGCCGUUGAAACUGGUUGUCUUGAGUGAGAGAGAAGUAUGCGGAAUGCGUGGUGUAGCGGUGAAAUGCAUAGAUAUCACGCAGAACUCCGAUUGCGAAGGCAGCAUACCGGCGCUCAACUGACGCUCAUGCACGAAAGUGUGGGUAUCGAACAGGAUUAGAUACCCUUGUAGUC
RNAcentral lists this ribosomal RNA (459 nucleotides) under uncultured bacterium. Its description in RNAcentral is "partial 16S ribosomal RNA". It matches the Rfam family "Bacterial small subunit ribosomal RNA", at positions 338 to 795 of the family's 1533-position model. The record is from RNAcentral.